This 4721-nucleotide long non-coding RNA is filed under the name Homo sapiens (human). RNAcentral describes it as "HSALNT0280427". The record is from RNAcentral. Lineage: Eukaryota; Metazoa; Chordata; Mammalia; Primates; Hominidae.
ACUUCCUCCACUGCCAGAGAUCUUGAAUAGCCUCCUGGUCAGUCACCCAGAAGCAAUUCUUCACAUAACUGAUGAACUUGGCUUCCCUUUGGGAAGAGAACCACCUUUUUCUAUGCUUGCUUGCAUUUUUGCUUUAACGUCUUCUACAGAACUAGGUCCCUUUGGUGUUUUAGGAGUUUUUUCCUGUUUUUUGAAGGAUUCUUGUCCUUUUUAUCUUGGUGUUGAUGAUGGUUUUGAGUCUUUUCCAUUCUGAUUUGACUUGUGUGCAUUUUUGGCUGUAGUAUCUUGUAUAGAUUUCUUCACUGGUGCUUUUUCUUCAGUUUCCUCAUCAUCAAAAUCAUCAUCAUCAUCAUCAUCUUCAUCAGCAACAAGUUUUACCUUUUUCUGUGGAAACUUGCUACCACUUCCAGGGACCAACUGCUUUCCAGAUAUACUUAAGAGUUUCACAUUCUCCUCCUCUUCAUCUUCUGACUCUGCAUCUUCCUCCACAGCUACUAAGUGCUGUCCACUAAUAUGCACUGGCCCUGAAUCACACUUCAACUGUAAGAGCGCUGGUGGUGUUAUUUCAAAGCCCCCAAGGGAAAGCUUUGGCUGUACAGACAUUUUCAAAGUUGCCAGUGUUAACUUUAAUUGGACUGCCUUUGUAAUUCAUUGCCUCUUCUUCAACAAUGUGCAGUUCAUCCUUUGCACCAGUCCCUAAACAGACCGUUCUUAAAGAUAACUGGUCUCAUUUUCAUCAUUAUCCACCUUAAAGUGAUCAUCUUUAUUGGCCUUUAGUUCACAACCGAAAAGUUAGUUCUGGGGCCUCAGGGGGCUCAUGUCCAUGUCCAUCGAAUCUUCCAUCAGGUGGCUACAUGCACUUAGGUGGGAGAGAAGGUGGACAGAGAUAAACGACCCCAGCUCAAGAGAAGAGCCGCGCAGGACAGAAUCACACCUGGGCGGGUGAUUCUUAUAUACAACUGUGGCUGAGAAUUAUUAGUGUAGAGCAGCAGUUCUCAAACUUGAGUGUGUAUCAGAAUAACCUAGAGGGCUUGUUAAGAUACAGAUUACCAUGCCCAACUCUCAAUUUCUGAUUUAGCAGGUUUCGGGUAGGGCCCAAGAAUUAGCAUUUCUAAUAAAUUCUCAGAUGUUACUGAUGCUGUUCCUCCAGGACCACACUUUGAGAACCACUGAUGUAGAGAAAAAAAAGUGACUGAACUGGAAACUCAAAAGGCUGCCCAGGGUCUCUCAAAGGCAAAAUAAUUCAUUACCUCACACCCGUUAGGAUGGCCACUAUCAAAAGAACAGAAAAUAACAAGUGUUAGGAAGGAUGCAGAGAAAUUGGAAUCCUUGUACACUGUUGGUGGGAAUGUAAAAUAGUGCAGUUAUUAUUAAAAAUAGUACAGAGGUUUCUCAAAAAAUUGAAAAUAAAAUUACCAUAUGAUCUAGCAAUCUCACUUCUGUGUAUAUAUCCAAAAGAACUGAAAAUAGGAUCUCAAACAAUUAUUUGCACACCCACGUUUAUUGCAGUAUUAUUCACAACAGCCAAGAAGUGGAAGCAACCUAGAUGUCUAACAGAUGGACAGAUAAACAAAAUGUGAUAUAUGUAUACAAUGGAAUACUAUGCAGCUUUAAACAGAAGGAAAUAGUGUCACAAGCUAUGACACGAAUGAACCUCAAGGACAUUAUGCUAAGUAAAAUAAGCCAGGUACAAAAAUAUAAAUACUCUAUGAUUCCACUCACAUGAAGUAUCUAAAGUAGUCAAAAUCAUAGAAAGUAGAAAGGUGGUUGCCAAGAGCUGGUGGAAGAGAGAGAGGAAAUUAACGCUCAAUGGGUAUAGAGUUUCAGUUUUGCAAGAUGAAAAAGUUCUAGAGAUCUGCUAUACAACAACAUGAAUAUAUUUAACACUAUUGAACUAUAUGCUUAAAAAUUGUUAGGAUGAUAAAUGUAAUGUUUUUUCAACUACAACAAAUAAAUAGGGCAAAAUAAUUGAGGUAAUCGAUUUUUAAAAGCUAUUUGCUUUAAUGUACAUGCAUAUGUUAUUUAAAUUUUUACAACAAAUCUUAUUUCUAAAAAGCUUUAAAGAUAAUUAUUUUACAGUUCCGCAAUAAAAUAAACCAAUUUUUCAACCAAGAAAUACUUCAAAAUCAUGAUUUAAAUAUUUUAGACCCCUUUUUGCUAUUCAAAGUGCUUUGGUUUGAACUUUUUUCUCUGUGUAGACAUUUUUCUCUGAGAUUCUCUCUGAAUGAUGAGGUAAAACACCAUUAUAUUAAAAUACCACUUUAAUCUUACAACCGCCCCCAACAUGAAAUCCUUAGCUUUUGUCAGAACCCCAAAGAGUCCUCUUAUCCAAAAUUAAGAACUGCUCUCAGAGGAUAUCCCUACUGGGUAUAGUGCCCUAUAAGGGUGUUCCCAUGGAACUUCAGUAAAACUUUGUAUUAAUUACCUCAAUGUCACCUACAACUCUCUGCCACUGUCUCUUCCAUUAAGACUGCAAGCUUUCUGAAAACCAACAAGAGUCUUAAAUUUAUCUGGCACCUAGAUGUGCAUGAGAAUGUGUUCAAUGAAACCUCUAUAGACACAUGAUUGAAUAAAAGAUCUCUAUAUUCCCUUCUACUUUGUACACUAUUGAUAAUUUGCAAGAGGUGAAAUGUUUUCUAUAGGCAUAUCAUUUGGAAUGAUUAGAUCAGGCAAAAGGUACAAAUAGAAAACAGAAUUCUACCUCCUUUUCUUCUCAAGUGCUGUAGUACUCAUAGCGAAUAAAGAUGUAAGUUUUCCUGGCUAGACACCUUGCACCUUUCCCUGGAAUCCCAAGCCCUCAACUGCAGCGAUCACCAGCCACUGACAAACACUUCAGAGAUUCUCAGGGCCUAGACAUGUUUCAAAGAGAAACUACAUAAAGGGCUAUUUAGAGAACUGACACUUUCAUUUUAAAAGUCCCUAAAACAUGAACCAGCAAUGGUAAUAUGCUUGUAGAUGCAAAGACACAACUGAAUCAUGAAAGUGGCAAGAGUGUCAUUUCUUCAACUUCGGCUUUUCUAGUUUGUAGUAAGUUAAAAAAAAUACUGGAGUACAAAAUUCACUUGUAAGUUAUUUGGCAUAUCUGUAUCUUUUGGUUGCAUUGGUAAUUUAAAAAUAAGCAAUAUGCUAUUUUUAGUAUCUUAACUUCCCUACACAUAAACUAUUACAAUUAAAUCCUGUUUAGUUUUUUUUUUCCUAAGCAACUCUACUAAAAUGACUGUUUAGUUUUUUCACCAUCUCUACUUUACAAUUUACUUCCUGUAUUUUAUAUUUGGUUGUUCUUUCAGAACAUGUCAUGGGCAGUUUCAACAGAUAGCACAUGACACAUAUUCUUUCCAGAUUUCUACGAUUAAUCCUGAAUUUAUUCCAUUUCCAUAUGCAGAAAGUCUGAAAUAUUUUCCAUUGACAUUUCAUAGGGAUAGAGCUGUAGAGUUCUAUCUCAAUUUGCAAUGGAUUACUAGGAAAGGAGGUCCCUUAUUAUAUGGACCAUCAUAAAAACCAAGACAAGAAACUAAUAACCUAUAUUCUCUAAAAACCAUGUGCAUCACAAGAUCAUUAGGUAUAAGCAUUUCUAAGGCAUGAGAGAAUUAGCACUUCACAGCCACAAGCACGAGAUGCCACAUUCUAUAAUCAUCUUUAUUUCUCUCAACUGAGAUGGAAACCUGCAUCUCACUUAAGGAUUUUAGAGCAAAAAGGAUCAGGAAUAUUUAUUUUGGCCCAUAUCCUUUUGCGUCUUUUUCUUUCUCCUGACGUUCUCUUAUUAAUCCAGCAUUCUUAUUUUUCAAAGAAAAGACUAGCUUGAAUUUUUAUCCCUUUGAAAUGUAUCUCACUGGACCCCUUAUAAAUCACUUCUUAACUGAAGUGAAUUUUCAUUUAUUUUUAAAUUUCUCAGUCCCUAAGGAGUGCCAUAUUCUUUAUGUUACUUUAGUUAGAAUUUUAAAUUUUAAUUUUGCCUAGAGUUGGAAUUUCAGAUAGCUUAAAAGCGUUUUCAUUUUUUUUCUUUAAACAGUGGCCUGUAAGGUAUACUUAGCCUUUUGAAAGAGAGAUGCUUUUCUGAAAAAUGCCUUACAAUUUUCACAUUCUUAUAGACUUACAUAAUUUCAGGGCAGCUUUGUAACAACAUUCAAAUUGACAAGGGUUUCAAAACCUUUCAUUUUAAUGGUCUCGCCCAGACAAUCUGCCAUUUAAAUUUCUGUAGGAGAAAUACUGAUAUUUACAGAAACUUGUGGAUCCUGACAACCUUGCUUAAUUUAUCUAUUUGAAGUUGAUUUUUACAUGCUAGGUUUUACUAAGCAGAAAGCAAGAAAAAAAUGAAGUUUUUAAAAGAUUUAGACCAAAAUACUAUUAUGCCAUUUCGGUCUUCACUUAAGUAACUCUAAGACGGGAUUUCUCAACCUCUGCAUUACUGACAUUUUGGGCUGGAUAAUUCUUUGUUGUAGGGGGCUGUCUUGUGCAUAGUAGGAUGUUUAGCAGCAUCUCUGGUCUCCUCUAUCCACUAGAUGCCCAUAGCACCCCUGCCUCACCCCUUCCUGACCCCACAACUUCUGACAACCAAAAAAAAAUAUCUCCAGACAUAGCCAAAUGCCCCUUGGGGUAGAGGAGAGGGAGAUAAAAUGGCCCUAGUUGAGAACCACUGCUGUUUAUUUUGUGCAUCAUCAAAACUAAAGUUUCUACUACAGUAAGCCUCGGUGUUUAUUUUUACAAAGGAGGCAUAUAGCAAG